GACGAACGCGGCGGCGUGCCUAAUACAUGCAAGUCGAACGAACCGCGACUAGGUGCUUGCACUUGGUCAAGGUGAGUGGCGAACGGGUGAGUAACACGUGUUAACCUACCUCAUAGUGGGGGAUAACAGUCGGAAACGACUGCUAAUACCGCAUAGGACAUAGGAUCACAUGAUCCAGUGAGGAAAGGUGGCGCAAGCUAUCGCUAAGAGAUGGACCCGCGGUGCAUAGCUAGUUGGUAGGGUAAAGGCCUACCAAGGCGAUGAUGCAUAGCCGACCUGAGAGGGUGAUCGGCCACAUUGGGACUGAGACACGGCCCAAACUCCUACGGGAGGCAGCAGUAGGGAAUCUUCCGCAAUGGACGCAAGUCUGACGGAGCAACGCCGCGUGAGUGAAGAAGGUCUUCGGAUCGUAAAGCCCUGUUGUUAGAGAAGAACAGCGCAUAG
This 444-nucleotide ribosomal RNA is filed under the name Abiotrophia defectiva. RNAcentral's name for it is "bacterial SSU rRNA". It matches the Rfam family "Bacterial small subunit ribosomal RNA", at positions 28 to 459 of the family's 1533-position model. Lineage: Bacteria; Bacillati; Bacillota; Bacilli; Lactobacillales; Aerococcaceae. The record is from RNAcentral.